RNAcentral lists this transfer-messenger RNA (359 nucleotides) under Thalassocella blandensis. RNAcentral describes it as "Standard tmRNA". It matches the Rfam family "transfer-messenger RNA". Rfam says of the family: Bacterial tmRNA, also known as 10Sa RNA or SsrA, is named for its dual tRNA and mRNA-like properties. Its role is to liberate the mRNA from a stalled ribosome. The record is from RNAcentral. Lineage: Bacteria; Pseudomonadati; Pseudomonadota; Gammaproteobacteria; Cellvibrionales; Cellvibrionaceae.
GGGGGCGAUUAGGAUUCGACGCUGGUAACAAAACUCAAGGUGCAUGUCGUGAUGACAGCCAAUCACGUUAAUCCAAAGCUGUAUUUGAAUAGUCGCAAACGACGAUUCUUACGCUCUAGCAGCUUAAUCGCUUGCUAGCGGUCACCGCCAAGGUGCCAGUACCGCGGUGUUGACUGUCAUAUAGAACUGGAUCGCUGCGUCGUUCAGAUCGUGACGCCGUUGUUAAACUUAAAGCGAACUCGCUUCUAGCACCCUGCCCGCCGGGUCGCCUGAAGUUAAAUCAAUAGACGGAAUCUAAGCAUGUAGAGCCGCGAGCGGAGUACUGACGGACGGGGGUUCAAAUCCCCCCGCCUCCACCA